AAUAGAUACCCCGGUAGUCCACGCCGUAAACGAUGAGUGCUAAGUGUUAGAGGGUUUCCGCCCUUUAGUGCUGCAGCUAACGCAUUAAGCACUCCGCCUGGGGAGUACGGCCGCAAGGCUGAAACUCAAAGGAAUUGACGGGGGCCCGCACAAGCGGUGGAGCAUGUGGUUUAAUUCGAAGCAACGCGAAGAACCUUACCAGGUCUUGACAUCCUCUGCCAACUCUAGAGAUAGGGCGUUCCCCUUCGGGGGACAGAGUGACAGGUGGUGCAUGGUUGUCGUCAGCUCGUGUCGUGAGAUGUUGGGUUAAGUCCCGCAACGAGCGCAACCCUUGAUCUUAGUUGCCAGCAUUCAGUUGGGCACUCUAAGGUGACUGCCGGUGACAAACCGGAGGAAGGUGGGGAUGACGUCAAAUCAUCAUGCCCCUUAUGACCUGGGCUACACACGUGCUACAAUGGAUGGUACAAAGAGUUGCGAACCCGCGAGGGUAAGCCAAUCUCAUAAAGCCAUUCUCAGUUCGGA
RNAcentral lists this ribosomal RNA (522 nucleotides) under uncultured bacterium. RNAcentral's name for it is "bacterial SSU rRNA". It matches the Rfam family "Bacterial small subunit ribosomal RNA", at positions 777 to 1297 of the family's 1533-position model. The record is from RNAcentral.